RNAcentral lists this ribosomal RNA (426 nucleotides) under uncultured eukaryote. Its description in RNAcentral is "bacterial SSU rRNA". It matches the Rfam family "Eukaryotic small subunit ribosomal RNA", at positions 712 to 1118 of the family's 1831-position model. The record is from RNAcentral.
UAAGGGAUCACAGUAAGGUAUUAAGUGGGUUCCAGUUCAUUUACUUUGAGUAAAAUUAGAGUGUUCAAAGCAGCCUGUAUGGGCAUUGAAUAGAUUAGCAUGGGAUAAUAGAAUAGGAUUCUUAUCUAUUACUUGGUUUAUAGAUUUAGAAUAAUGAUUAAUAGGGAUAGUUGGGGGGCACUUGUAUUCAAUAGUCAGAGGUGAAAUUCUAGGAUUUAUUGAAGACAAACUUCAGCGAAAGCAUUUGCCAAGGAUGUUUUCAUUAAUCAAGAACGAAAGUUAGGGGAUCGAAGACGAUUAGACACCGUCGUAGUCUUAACUAUAAACUAUGCCGACCAGGGAUAUGAGAGUUUUAUAUUUAUGUUAUGAAUAAUAACAUAAUCUCUUGUGGACCUUGUGAGAAAUCAUAAGUUUUUGGGUUCUGGG